Molecule: ribosomal RNA, 524 nt
Filed under: uncultured bacterium
Lineage: Bacteria
Description: bacterial SSU rRNA
Rfam family: Bacterial small subunit ribosomal RNA
Source: RNAcentral
ACAUCCAGAGAACUUUCAGAGAUGGAUUGGUGCCUUCGGGAACUCUGAGACAGGUGCUGCAUGGCUGUCGUCAGCUCGUGUUGUGAAAUAGUUGGGUUAAGUCCGCAACGAGCGCAACCCCUAUCCUUUGUUGCCAGCGAUUCGGUCGGGAACUCAAAGGAGACUGCCGGUGAUAAACCGGAGGAAGGUGGGGAUGACGUCAAGUCAUCAUGGCCCUUACGAGUAGGGCUACACACGUGCUACAAUGGCGUAUACAAAGAGAAGCGACCUCGCGAGAGCAAGCGGACCUCAUAAAGUACGUCGUAGUCCGGAUUGGAGUCUGCAACUCGACUCCAUGAAGUCGGAAUCGCUAGUAAUCGUAGAUCAGAAUGCUACGGUGAAUACGUUCCCGGGCCUUGUACACACCGCCCGUCACACCAUGGGAGUGGGUUGCAAAAGAAGUAGAUAGCUUAACCUUCGGGAGGGCGUUUACCACUUUGUGAUUCAUGACUGGGGUGAAGUCGUAACAAGGUAAGCGUAGCGAG